AGUGAACGCUGGCGGUAGGCCUAACACAUGCAAGUCGAACGGCAGCACAGUAAGAGCUUGCUCUUACGGGUGGCGAGUGGCGGACGGGUGAGGAAUACAUCGGAAUCUCCUUUUUCGUGGGGGAUCACGUAGGGAAACUUACGCUAAUACCGCAUACUACCUACGGGUGAAAGCAGGGGAUCUUCGGACCUUGCGCGAUUGAAUGACCCGAUGUCGGAUUAGCUAGUUGGCGGGGUAAAGGCCCACCAAGGCGACGAUCCGUAGCUGGUCUGAGAGGAUGACCAGCCACACUGGAACUGAGACACGGUCCAGACUCCUACGGGAGGCAGCAGUGGGGAAUAUUGGACAAUGGGCGCAAGCCUGAUCCAGCCAUACCGCGUGGGUGAAGAAGGCCUUCGGGUUGUAAAGCCCUUUUGUUGGGAAAGAAAAGCAGCAGGUUAAUACCCCGCUGUUCUGACGGUACCCAAAGAAGAAGCACCGGCUAACUUCGUG
Molecule: ribosomal RNA, 492 nt
Filed under: uncultured bacterium
Lineage: Bacteria
Description: partial 16S ribosomal RNA
Rfam family: Bacterial small subunit ribosomal RNA
Source: RNAcentral